This 438-nucleotide long non-coding RNA is filed under the name Elaeis guineensis (African oil palm). RNAcentral's name for it is "long non-coding RNA (EGUI_LNC057432)". Lineage: Eukaryota; Viridiplantae; Streptophyta; Magnoliopsida; Arecales; Arecaceae. The record is from RNAcentral.
UCUAUUGAAUAAUAGGCUUGAUUAGAUCAAGCCCUAUUAUCAAAUAGCUUCUCUGAAUCCAUCAAGAAUCAAUCCUUGGAUCAAUGGGAUUUUCAUCUAACCAAUUGCAAUUCAAUUGGAGCUUAAUUAUAGGAUAAGGACCUAAUUAGUUAGUUUGUUAUAACUAAUUCCUAAAUUGGUUAAAAUUAGAUCUAAGAAUUAGUUAGAAUUUGAUCAAGAUCUUGAAUCAUAUUUGGGAAUAGGACUAAAUCCAAAAUAAAGCCACUCCAUGUGAUAAUUAAUUCUCCAUGCCCCAAUUUUUUCUGUGAGAAACCCCAUGCCCCAUGAUGAAGCACCACACCCCUCUCCUCUCUUCCUCUCAUGAAAAAGGAGGCACCCGAUCUCCUAUUUAUGGUCGCCCAAAAUAAGGAGGGGGGCAUCCAAGAGUUGGACGCCCCA